GAUGAACGCUGGCGGCGUGCCUAAUACAUGCAAGUCGAGCGAAUGGAUUAAGAGCUUGCUCCGGUGGAUUAGUGGCGAACGGGUGAGUAACACGUGAGUAACCUGCCCUUGACUCUGGGAUAACUGCGGGAAACUGUAGCUAAUACCGGAUACGACCCUCGGCGGCAUCGCCAGGGGGUGGAAAGAAUUUCGGUCAAGGAUGGACUCGCGGCCUAUCAGCUAGUUGGUGAGGUAACGGCUCACCAAGGCGACGACGGGUAGCCGGCCUGAGAGAGUGUCCGGCCACACUGGGACUGAGAUACGGCCCAGACUCCUACGGGAGGCAGCAGUGGGGAAUAUUGCACAAUGGGCGCAAGCCUGAUGCAGCGACGCCGCGUGAGGGAUGACGGCCUUCGGGUUGUAAACCUCUUUCACCAGGGACGAAGCGCAAGUGACGGUACCUGGAGAAGAAGCACCGGCCAACUACGUGCCAGCCGCCGCGGUAA
This 485-nucleotide ribosomal RNA is filed under the name uncultured bacterium. RNAcentral's name for it is "partial 16S ribosomal RNA". It matches the Rfam family "Bacterial small subunit ribosomal RNA", at positions 28 to 523 of the family's 1533-position model. The record is from RNAcentral.